Long non-coding RNA from Calidris pugnax (ruff), 586 nucleotides. RefSeq lists it as uncharacterized. NCBI's taxonomy places the organism in Eukaryota, Metazoa, Chordata, Aves, Charadriiformes, Scolopacidae. The transcript is spliced from 2 exons. The record is from RefSeq and is a predicted model, not a curated record.
GUCAGAGGCUGCCUUAUCCCAGCGCGGAGCUGCCGGAGCUGCCGCGCGGGGGAGGGGAAGGGAGAGGCGAAGGCGGGCGGCCUUGGCGCUGCCCGCCCCGGCCCCGCCGCUCGCCGGGGCCCAGCUCGCUGGGCUCCGAGGGCUCCAGGGGGCCGGGGGAGCGGGUGGCGGAGGCGCCGGGCCGCGGCGGGCGCCGGAGCCCGGGGGUGGCCGGGCGAGGGGAGCUGCUGCCCGCUCCCGCCCUCCCGCGCAGCCCGGGCGGACGGGGCCGUUCCUGAGGGAUUCCGGCGAACCUGUAAUGAAUGACAGGACGAUCUAGCUCCUCGUGUAGCUAACUAGGUCACUGUCAGCACUUAAUUACUGUUUGUUUCAUUUUAGUGCGUGCCUUAUGAAUAAACCGGCUAUUAGGCUGAGGCUUCAAGUAACACUAUCCAGCACCAAGGUUUUUGUGUUUGUCAUUUCUACCACAGUCCAUAGGCUGGAUCUCUGCAAUCCCUUGGCAGAGCAUGGAGGAACAAAGAGGGUGAUGCCAUCCAAAUGUUCUCUCCCUGCGAUCGUGGUUAAUAAAGCUCCUCUUUGACCUGUC